RNAcentral lists this ribosomal RNA (497 nucleotides) under uncultured bacterium. Its description in RNAcentral is "partial 16S ribosomal RNA". It matches the Rfam family "Bacterial small subunit ribosomal RNA", at positions 28 to 507 of the family's 1533-position model. The record is from RNAcentral.
GAUGAACGCUGGCGGCGUGCCUAAUACAUGCAAGUCGAGCGAACGGACGAGAAGCUUGCUUCUCUGAUGUUAGCGGCGGACGGGUGAGUAACACGUGGAUAACCUACCUAUAAGACUGGGAUAACUUCGGGAAACCGGAGCUAAUACCGGAUAAUAUUUUGAACCGCAUGGUUCAAAAGUGAAAGACGGUCUUGCUGUCACUUAUAGAUGGAUCCGCGCUGCAUUAGCUAGUUGGUAAGGUAACGGCUUACCAAGGCAACGAUGCAUAGCCGACCUGAGAGGGUGAUCGGCCACACUGGAACUGAGACACGGUCCAGACUCCUAAGGGAGGCAGCAGUAGGGAAUCUUCCGCAAUGGGCGAAAGCCUGACGGAGCAACACCGCGUGAGUGAUGAAGGUCUUCGGAUCGUAAAACUCUGUUAUUAGGGAAGAACGUAUGUGUAAGUAACUGUGCACAUCUUGACGGUACCUAAUCAGAAAGCCACGGCUAACUACGUG